UACGUAUGGAGCAAGCGUUAUCCGGAUUUACUGGGUGUAAAGGGAGCGCAGGCGGCUUUGCAAGUCUGAUGUGAAAGGCCGGGGCUCAACCCCGGGACUGCAUUGGAAACUGUAAAGCUAGAGUGCCGGAGAGGUAAGCGGAAUUCCUAGUGUAGCGGUGAAAUGCGUAGAUAUUAGGAGGAACACCAGUGGCGAAGGCGGCUCACUGGACGGCAACUGACGCUGAGGCUCGAAAGCGUGGGGAGCAAACAGG
Molecule: ribosomal RNA, 253 nt
Filed under: uncultured bacterium
Lineage: Bacteria
Description: partial 16S ribosomal RNA
Rfam family: Bacterial small subunit ribosomal RNA
Source: RNAcentral